RNAcentral lists this ribosomal RNA (228 nucleotides) under uncultured bacterium. RNAcentral's name for it is "partial 16S ribosomal RNA". It matches the Rfam family "Bacterial small subunit ribosomal RNA", at positions 568 to 796 of the family's 1533-position model. The record is from RNAcentral.
UGCGUAGGCGGAAGAUUAAGUCAGUGAUGAAAUCCUGCAGCUCAACUGUAGAACUGUCAUUGAUACUGAUUUUCUUGAAUACAGUUGAGGUAGGCGGAAUAUGUAAUGUAGCGGUGAAAUGCUUAGAUAUUACAUAGAACACCAAUUGCGAAGGCAGCUUACUAAACUGUGAUUGACGCUGAGGCACGAAAGCGUGGGAGCGAACAGGAUUAGAUACCCUGGUAGUCC